AUUGAACGCUGGCGGCAGGCCUAACACAUGCAAGUCGAGCGGAUGAACGGAGCUUGCUCCUGGAUUCAGCGGCGGACGGGUGAGUAAUGCCUAGGAAUCUGCCUGGUAGUGGGUUAUAACGUCCUGAAACGGGCGCUAAAACCGCAUACGUCCUGAGGGAGAAAGUGGGGGAUCUUCGGACCUCACGCUAUCAGAUGAGCCUAGGUCGGAUUAGCUAGUUGGUGGGGUAAAGGCCUACCAAGGCGACGAUCCGUAAAUGAUCUGAGAGGAUGAUAAGUCACACUGGAACUGAGACACGGUCCAGACUCCUACGGGAGGCAGCAGUGGGGAAUAUUGGACAAUGGGCGAAAGCUUGAUCCAGCCAUGCCGAGUGUGUGAAGAAGGUCUUCGGAUUGUAAAGCCCUUUAAGUUGGGAGGAAGGGCAGUAAGUUAAUACCUUGCUGUUUUGACGUUACCAACAGAAUAAGCACCGGCUAACUUCGUG
This 484-nucleotide ribosomal RNA is filed under the name uncultured bacterium. RNAcentral's name for it is "partial 16S ribosomal RNA". It matches the Rfam family "Bacterial small subunit ribosomal RNA", at positions 30 to 507 of the family's 1533-position model. The record is from RNAcentral.